UUGAUACUGUCAGUCUAGAGUAUAGUUGAAGUUGGCGGAAUGUGUCAUGUAGCGGUGAAAUGCUUAGAUAUGACACAGAACACCGAUCGCGAAGGCAGCUAGCUAAGCUAUAACUGACGCUCAUGCACGAAAGCGUGGGGAUCAAACAGGAUUAGAUACCCUGGUAGUCCACGCUGUAAACGAUGAUUACUCGAUGUUGGCGAUACACAGUCAGCGUCUGAGCGAAAGCAAUAAGUAAUCCACCUGGGGAGUACGAUCGCAAGAUUGAAACUCAAAGGAAUUGACGGGGGCCCGCACAAGCGGAGGAGCAUGUGGUUUAAUUCGAUGAUACGCGAGGAACCUUACCUGGGCUCGAACGUAAGAUGACUGUAGGUGAAAGCUUACAUCUCUUCGGAGCAUUUUACGAGGUGCUGCAUGGUUGUCGUCAGCUCGUGCCGUGAGGUGUCGGGUUAAGUCCCAUAACGAGCGCAA
Molecule: ribosomal RNA, 471 nt
Filed under: uncultured bacterium
Lineage: Bacteria
Description: bacterial SSU rRNA
Rfam family: Bacterial small subunit ribosomal RNA
Source: RNAcentral